AGAGUUUGAUCAUGGCUCAGAGCGAACGCUGGCGGCAGGCCUAACACAUGCAAGUCGAGCGCCGUAGCAAUACGGAGCGGCAGACGGGAGAGUAACACGUGGGAACGUACCCUUCAGUUCGGAACAACCAAGGGAAACUUUGGCUAAUACCGGAUACGUCCGUAAGGAGAAAGAUUUAUCGCUGAAGGAUCGGCCCGCGUCUGAUUAGCUAGUUGGUGAGGUAACGGCUCACCAAGGCGACGAUCAGUAGCUGGUCUGAGAGGAUGAUCAGCCACAUUGGGACUGAGACACGGCCCAAACUCCUACGGGAGGCAGCAGUGGGGAAUAUUGGACAAUGGGCGCAAGCCUGAUCCAGCCAUGCCGCGUGAGUGAUGAAGGCCCUAGGGUUGUAAAGCUCUUUUGUGCGGGAAGAUAAUGACGGUACCGCAAGAAUAAGCCCCGGCUAACUUCGUGCCAGCAGCCGCGGUAAUACGAAGGGGGCUAGCGUUGCUCGGAAUCACUGGGCGUAAAGGGUGCGUAGGCGGGUCUUUAAGUCAGGGGUGAAAUCCUGGAGCUCAACUCCAGAACUGCCUUUGAUACUGAAGAUCUUGAGUUCGGGAGAGGUGAGUGGAACUGCGAGUGUAGAGGUGAAAUUCGUAGAUAUUCGCAAGAACACCAGUGGCGAAGGCGGCUCACUGGCCCGAUACUGACGCUGAGGCACGAAAGCGUGGGGAGCAAACAGGAUUAGAUACCCUAGUAGUCC
RNAcentral lists this ribosomal RNA (742 nucleotides) under uncultured bacterium. RNAcentral describes it as "bacterial SSU rRNA". It matches the Rfam family "Bacterial small subunit ribosomal RNA", at positions 8 to 796 of the family's 1533-position model. The record is from RNAcentral.